GACGAACGCUGGCGGCGUGCUUAACACAUGCAAGUCGAACGGAAAGGCCCUGCUUUUGUGGGGUGCUCGAGUGGCGAACGGGUGAGUAACACGUGAGUAACCUGCCCUUGACUUUGGGAUAACUUCAGGAAACUGGGGCUAAUACCGGAUAGGAGCUCCUGCUGCAUGGUGGGGGUUGGAAAGUUUCGGCGGUUGGGGAUGGACUCGCGGCUUAUCAGCUUGUUGGUGGGGUAGUGGCUUACCAAGGCUUUGACGGGUAGCCGGCCUGAGAGGGUGACCGGCCACAUUGGGCCUGAGAUACGGCCCAGACUCCUACGUGAGGCAGCAGUGGGGAAUAUUGCACAAUGGGCGGAAGCCUGAUGCAGCAACGCCGCGUGCGGGAUGACGGCCUUCGGGUUGUAAACCGCUUUCGCCUGUGACGAAGCGUGAGUGACGGUAAUGGGUAAAGAAGCACCGGCUAACUACGUG
Molecule: ribosomal RNA, 468 nt
Filed under: uncultured bacterium
Lineage: Bacteria
Description: partial 16S ribosomal RNA
Rfam family: Bacterial small subunit ribosomal RNA
Source: RNAcentral